This 103-nucleotide Y RNA is filed under the name Microcebus murinus (gray mouse lemur). RNAcentral describes it as "Y RNA (ENSMICG00000020460.3)". It matches the Rfam family "Y RNA". Rfam says of the family: Y RNAs are components of the Ro ribonucleoprotein particle (Ro RNP), in association with Ro60 and La proteins. The record is from RNAcentral. Lineage: Eukaryota; Metazoa; Chordata; Mammalia; Primates; Cheirogaleidae.
GGUUGGUCCGAGUGAGGUGGUGUUUACAACUAAUCAAUCACAAACCAAUUACAGAUUCCUUUGUUCCUUCUCCACUUCCAUUGGUUCACUUGACCAAUAUAUA